GGUGGUUUGUUCUUUCAACUAAAUCCUGUUGUUGCUAGCCGUUUGGGUCUAUACUGCGCUUAUGAACUGCAACACUCCCCGUGAAAGUCUGCAGCUUUACUCAUCAAGCCAAUGAGACUGUGAAUCUGCUAGAAGGAACGGACAACUCCAGCUGCACUGCCUUAGAGAGCUUGUAACACCGCAAAGGUCUGCAGCUUCACUGCUGAGCAUCUGAAAAACCUCUUGCACAUGGACAAACAUUUAUUGGAGGAAUGAAGACAAAGUUGGAGACUGCCUGUAGCUCCAUGACACCUUGUCUGACAAACUAGUCAGCUCUCCUUGGACUUAGCCGUGGGAAGGCUCUCAGAUGGUGGCAAGAAACUCAGGUGAGUUACUUCCCAGGAGUCCUCUGGCCUCUCCUGUAAACAAUCCUAGCAAGAUUACCUCACCCUCUGCUAGCUGUGCUCAGGCCUGGGUGAGUCCUGAGAGCUUGGUCUCAAGCUGAGGCUGACCGUGUGUCCUCAUCGGCAUAGUUCCUAAUGGGCCCUAACAGUCUCUUGCUAUUUCCUCCAAUCCUUGGCCUGCCUUGGACCUGGACUCUGGCUCCUGACCUCAGUGACACAGGAUCUGCCAUCCACUGCGUCUCUCUUCACAUGGCCUGCCUUACCCUGUUGUCUCUCCCCCUUCCCCAAAGUGCAGUUUGCUCUUCUUGGAAGCCACGCUGUAAUCUCUCGUACUUGCAUGUGGGGUUUCCACCAGGAAGGCAAGGUGCUCUAGCAGAAAGGAAAAGGGCUCUGAACUCAAAAGACCGGAUUCAAGUCCUAUUUCAGCAAUUAGCCACGUGUCCUUGGAUAAAUCACCGAGAUACUUAACCUGAAUGAUAAUUCCCUCAUCUGUGGCAGGUAGAAUGAAAUUGCCACUUGAAAAUGGAUGAACUGACUUCUGAACUCAGAGGAUUUCCUGCUGAGUUUGGUAUCAAUCAGUUGACUGGGGCUGGGUUAAUCUUUGGGGAAGUCAGAUUUCUGAACUUGAGGAACUAAGGCUGUAUGUCAAGGAUGCUGGGAUAAUCAGCUUGGAACCAACAUGAUUCCCAACUUAAUUUUAGGGGAAAGUUCAGCCAGCUUCGGAAGCUGGGCUAUUCACCUACCCAACUGCUCCAAGCCCAGACAGGUCUUGAAUCAGACAACUCUCACAGGAGAGUGUAACUGGCAUCUUUUCCCCAUCUCAUCUUGUUGGUUUUGGUAAUGAGAUGAGAUUGGGUAGUUAAAUUUGCCAGGAAUGGAGAAUGGCGUGAUACUCUUAAAUCUCUAUCUUUCAGGAAUACUUAGUUCAUUUUAUCUUAUUUUAUUAUUUAUUUUUUGAGACAGGGUCUUGCUCUGUCAUCCAGGCUGGAGUGCAGUGGCACAAUCAUGACUGACUGCAGCUUC
This 1406-nucleotide long non-coding RNA is filed under the name Homo sapiens (human). Its description in RNAcentral is "HSALNT0211213". Lineage: Eukaryota; Metazoa; Chordata; Mammalia; Primates; Hominidae. The record is from RNAcentral.